UGUGAGAUGGCUGAGUUGUUAAGCAGAAGAUUGUAGCUCUUUUUACGGAGAGUGUUUCUCCUCUCAUAA
This 69-nucleotide transfer RNA is filed under the name Haliotis diversicolor. RNAcentral's name for it is "tRNA-Tyr". It matches the Rfam family "tRNA". From Rfam's summary of the family: Transfer RNA (tRNA) molecules are approximately 80 nucleotides in length. Their secondary structure includes four short double-helical elements and three loops (D, anti-codon, and T loops). Further hydrogen bonds mediate the characteristic L-shaped molecular structure. tRNAs have two regions of fundamental functional importance: the anti-codon, which is responsible for specific mRNA codon recognition, and the 3' end, to which the tRNAs corresponding amino acid is attached (by aminoacyl-tRNA synthetases). tRNAs cope with the degeneracy of the genetic code in two manners: having more than one tRNA (with a specific anti-codon) for a particular amino acid; and 'wobble' base-pairing, i.e. permitting non-standard base-pairing at the 3rd anti-codon position. RNAcentral also lists the same sequence under 5 other names. The record is from RNAcentral. Lineage: Eukaryota; Metazoa; Mollusca; Gastropoda; Lepetellida; Haliotidae.